Molecule: ribosomal RNA, 490 nt
Filed under: uncultured bacterium
Lineage: Bacteria
Description: partial 16S ribosomal RNA
Rfam family: Bacterial small subunit ribosomal RNA
Source: RNAcentral
AUUGAACGCUGGCGGCAGGCCUAACACAUGCAAGUCGAACGGUAACAGGAAGCAGCUUGCUGCUUCGCUGACGAGUGGCGGACGGGUGAGUAAUGUCUGGGAAACUGCCUGAUGGAGGGGGAUAACUACUGGAAACGGUAGCUAAUACCGCAUAACGUUGCAAGACCAAAGAGGGGGACCUUAGGGCCUCUUGCCAUCGGAUGUGCCCAGAUGGGAUUAGCUAGUAGGUGGGGUAACGGCUCACCUAGGCGACGAUCCCUAGCUGGUCUGAGAGGAUGACCAGCCACACUGGAACUGAGACACGGUCCAGACUCCUACGGGAGGCAGCAGUGGGGAAUAUUGCACAAUGGGCGCAAGCCUGAUGCAGCCAUGCCGCGUGUAUGAAGAAGGCCUUCGGGUUGUAAAGUACUUUCAGCGGGGAGGAAGGGAGUAAAGUUAAUACCUUUGCUCAUUGACGUUACCCGCAGAAGAAGCACCGGCUAACUCCGUG